UACAGAGGUCUCAAGCGUUGUUCGGAUUCAUUGGGCGUAAAGGGUGCGUAGGCGGCGCGGUAAGUCGGGUGUGAAAUCUCGGAGCUUAACUCCGAAACUGCAUUCGAUACUGCCGUGCUUGAGGACUGGAGAGGAGACUGGAAUUUACGGUGUAGCGGUGAAAUGUGUAGAGAUCGGGAGGAACACCGGUGGCGAAGGCGGGUCUCUGGGCAAUUCCUGACGCUGAGGCGCGAAAGCGUGGGGAGCAAACGGG
This 253-nucleotide ribosomal RNA is filed under the name uncultured bacterium. RNAcentral's name for it is "partial 16S ribosomal RNA". It matches the Rfam family "Bacterial small subunit ribosomal RNA", at positions 524 to 776 of the family's 1533-position model. The record is from RNAcentral.